RNAcentral lists this ribosomal RNA (497 nucleotides) under uncultured bacterium. Its description in RNAcentral is "partial 16S ribosomal RNA". It matches the Rfam family "Bacterial small subunit ribosomal RNA", at positions 28 to 507 of the family's 1533-position model. The record is from RNAcentral.
GAUGAACGCUGGCGGCGUGCCUAAUACAUGCAAGUCGAGCGAACAGACGAGGAGCUUGCUCCUCUGACGUUAGCGGCGGACGGGUGAGUAACACGUGGAUAACCUACCUAUAAGACUGGGAUAACUUCGGGAAACCGGAGCUAAUACCGGAUAAUAUAUUUAACCGCAUGGUUCAAUAGUGAAAGACGGUUUUGCUGUCACUUAUAAAUGGAUCCGCGCCGCAUUAGCUAGUUGGUAAGGUAACGGCUUACCAAGGCGACGAUGCGUAGCCGACCUGAGAGGGUGAUCGGUCACACUGGAACUGAGACACGGUCCAGACUCCUACGGGAGGCAGCAGUAGGGAAUCUUCCGCAAUGGGCGAAAGCCUGACGGAGCAACGCCGCGUGAGUGAUGAAGGUCUUCGGAUCGUAAAACUCUGUUAUUAGGGAAGAACAAAUGUGUAAGUAACUAUGCACGUCUUGACGGUACCUAAUCAGAAAGCCACGGCUAACUACGUG